RNAcentral lists this transfer RNA (72 nucleotides) under Bos taurus (domestic cattle). It matches the Rfam family "tRNA". Rfam says of the family: Transfer RNA (tRNA) molecules are approximately 80 nucleotides in length. Lineage: Eukaryota; Metazoa; Chordata; Mammalia; Artiodactyla; Bovidae. The record is from Rfam by way of RNAcentral. RNAcentral also lists the same sequence under 5 other names.
UCCCUGAUGGUCCAGUGGUUAAGACUCUACCUUGCAAUGCAAGGGACCCAGGCUCGAUCCCUGGUCAGGGAA